UUUUAUGGAGAGUUUGAUCCUGGCUCAGGACGAACGCUGGCGGCGUGCUUAACACAUGCAAGUCGAACGGAGAUUAGAAGGAAGCUUGCGAAUUCUAAACUUAGUGGCGCACGGGUGAGUAACGCGUGGAUAACCUGCCUGGUAGACCGGGAUAACAGCUGGAAACGGCUGCUAAUACCGGAUACGCUUAAGGGAACGCAUGUUCUUUUAAGGAAAGCAAUCGUGCUAUCAGUGGAUCCGCGUCCCAUUAGCUAGUUGGUGGUGUAAGGGACCACCAAGCGACGAUGGGUAGCCGGCCUGAGAGGCGACCGGCCACACUGGGACUGAGACACGGCCC
RNAcentral lists this ribosomal RNA (337 nucleotides) under Desulforamulus profundi. RNAcentral describes it as "bacterial SSU rRNA". It matches the Rfam family "Bacterial small subunit ribosomal RNA", at positions 1 to 332 of the family's 1533-position model. The record is from RNAcentral. Lineage: Bacteria; Bacillati; Bacillota; Clostridia; Eubacteriales; Peptococcaceae.